UACUCGCCUUCUCUUUAGGAUGCAUUCAAACAAUGGUGGAAGCAAAAUCGACGAUUAACUGUAAGUUUAUCUUUACUAAAAUCCAAUUCAAUUCUUCAUCGAAUCUCUAAAAUGCAAAUGUGAAAAGAGUUAAUAAAUGGAGAAGCCUCACUAUUGGUCUUUAAUGGAUGAACUAGGGUUAAAUAUAAUUGGGAAUAUCCUUAGAGAAAGAUAGAAAAUCUAAGUAAUGGUGGUGGUGGGGUUUUAGCAAAUUUCCGGGGGUUUUUCAAGGAAGCAGUGGUGAUGAUCAAAAUGUCAAUGGUGGUGGUGGUGGUAAAUUAGGGUCAGGUUUAAUUCUGAUGAUGAGAAGAAUGGAAGGACCAAUUCAGAUUAGAAAACCAGAUCAGCCAUUACACCUGGUGAUGAGAACUAAGAAGAAAUUAUCUUAAGAGGAGAAAGGGUAUCUAUAAUUUUGGAGAUAACGCAGUAGAGUAUGGUCAAUAUAGAAAACAAUAGUGCAGAAAUGUCUUCUUCAUUUUGAGGAUGCAGAAUCAACGAAAAGGGCGUCAUGGUCGUGGAAUUCUCCUCUCCUGGCAUGGAGGUGCAGCUUUGAGGUGUUGGAUUGGAUAGUUUUGUUGGAGCUGUCCGUGCAACUUUGAAGGUUAUCUCCUCUUAUUUUAUGAGUUCAUACUUGGUUUUGCUAUCAAUUAGGAAUUAGUGUUUUAUGAGAGUCUUUUUGGGUGUAGGAUAAUGUCAUGGGAGUGUUUUUGGUGCCUGUGCAGGAUUAUAUAAGCAUUCAAACUCUUUGGCCGGAACUUUAGAUUUUUUGAUGGCAAGGCAGUGAAUACAAUCGAAGUGUGACUGAAGUUUGUUGUAAAGUUUUUGUAGUGUCAGAAAAAGUGCUCUGAGAAUGGGAACAUCAAAAUGCAACGUUGUGAGUACUACUGCAAGGGAUCAAUUUUAUGGAGAACAAACUACAUUUAAAGCUGCUUUGUACAGUAAUUGUUUUGAAUAUUCUACUGCUACCGACUAAUUUGUACAAUAACUCUCCAUGAUAAUUUUUUCAUGGAAAAUUUUAAAGAGAUUAGUCUAACUA
Papaver somniferum (opium poppy) is the source of this 1075-nucleotide long non-coding RNA. RefSeq lists it as uncharacterized. NCBI's taxonomy places the organism in Eukaryota, Viridiplantae, Streptophyta, Magnoliopsida, Ranunculales, Papaveraceae. The transcript is spliced from 4 exons. The record is from RefSeq and is a predicted model, not a curated record.